Long non-coding RNA from Mus musculus (house mouse), 3966 nucleotides. RefSeq annotates it as predicted gene, 29936. The record is from RefSeq and is a predicted model, not a curated record. Lineage: Eukaryota; Metazoa; Chordata; Mammalia; Rodentia; Muridae. The transcript is spliced from 5 exons.
UGUAUUUGCAUGUGUGUGUGUGUGUGUGUUGUGUUGUAUGUAUGUGUUACUUCUACCACUAAUUUUUCAAAGGAGGAUGAUGUUAUCCUCAGAUUGUUUAAGGAAACAAUGUGAACCCCGAUUCCAGUCCCAGUCAAUCGCUAGUGGACAGCCAGGCUGUGUUCUCAGUAGCCAUGAUAGUUUGCCUUUUCCUCUUGUGAUGUGCUCAGGACCAACACAUCUCAAGAUCUUGCCUAGGCAAGAGCACUCAUGACAGCGAUCCCAAUGGAGCUUUGACUGACAGCUCAGAAAGCUCCCUUGCUCCCUCUUGGGCACUGAUCUGGGGAAGAUGCCCUCACUUUUCCCUUAAGAAAAACCAUCACAAGCGUUCAGAGAAGACAAGGGUUACUCUCCUGAUCUAACACUAAAGGUGACUGUUUAGUGUCAUAAGCAGAAGCAAACCUGUGAGGGCUAGGAGAUGGCUCUGUUGGUAAGAAGCAUGAGGACCUGGGUGUGAUGCCUGGAACACACAUGCAAAGUGAGGCAUUGUGGGGGAGAGGGGGUGAGGGGAAGAGGGAGAGAGAGACUCUGUUACUUCAAGUUUUCACACAGCACAAGCACUCUCCUCUUCUAUGGGUGAGUCCGUGUUGAUGGGAUGAUGCUCCAUUGCUGUACCACGUCUUAUCUCUAACCUCGUCUAAAGCUACGUUUAUGUCCUACGUGUUUAUGUCCCUCAGCAUUGGCCAAGGAACUAAUGGUAUGGCCACUGGAAGGAGGGAACGUGGAAGAGGGAAGGAUGCGCAGUGGAGAAGAAUAGCGAAGAGAGGAAAAGAGGAAAAGAAGCAAAGAGCCCAGGCCCAUGGCAGGGAGAUCAACACAGACGACUCAGUUACGAACGCGAGCUAAACACGGAGCAUCAGUCAUCUGCCUCAUGUCACUAUGUGUGGAGGCCAGAGGAUACCUUGCAGGAGUUCUUCCUUCCAACACAUGGGAUCCAUGGACCAAACUCAGGUUGUCAGGGCCAGAGGAGCAGAAGAUUACCAUGUCAACAUCUCCAGGCUUCCAGAGGCGUCCACUUGAGCCCUGCCUCCCUCCAGGACCUGUCACUUGACAGGGACGCUCCUGCUACUUAGAUCUGAAGAUCCACUGGAAUGUGGUAAAGGCUCAGGGUAUUCCUCCUGUUGUCAGGAGACAAUCAAGCAGAGAGAUCUUCGUCUUUUCGUUCCCUACCACAGGAAUGGCCUCAUAAUGUGGUUGGCAAGGGAUCCAACAUGGGAAGCACUCGGAAGACUCCUCGGCACAGAAUGAGCAUGCAGCCUAAUAUUUGCUGGCUUUUAAGACAAACAGGUCCAAUGGAAAUACUCCACAUGUACAAGGCUAAUCUCCCAAGAGUCUCUGCUUCGUGGGCUGCUGGGAUUAGCUUCAGAAUGCUCUUUUAUUCAUGUCUGAGUUGCAGAUUUGAAGGCCUGGGAAUCCAUGUGUCUGGAGUUUCAUGACUCUGAAAAUGGCCCUAGCUUCAUCUCAUAACAGAGAAGUGUGGAGCUUGCCGAUGGCAUGUAUGCUUUGCUCAGACACUGGAGUGAAUCUUGACUGUUAUUUCUUAGUCAUGUGACUUUCAUCAUGUUACAUGAACCAUGUAGAUGCUCAGUUGAUUUCAUCCGUGCAAUGGGCAUAAUGGGUUUAGAUCAAGAGUUAGACAUUAUCUCUUGAGCAGCUACUCUUCCUAGGCUGUCCUUUGUACUUUACGAUUAAUUGUGUACAGCCUGAAGGGAUCAUAGUUACAAAUACAAUUUGGACCCAGUUCUUUUCUGCAGUUUGAGAGAGGGCCUUAAAAGUGUUAUGCAGCUAAGGAUAACCUUAAGCUUCUGAUUCUCCUUCGUUCACUCCACAAGUACUAGAAUGAAAGGGAUCGUCUUGGUUCAUGUGGGCCCAGGGGAUCCAACUCAGGGCUUCCUGCAUGCUAGGCAAGCACGCUCCCCAAUGAGCUACAUUUCUACACUGCUGCUUUUGAGUAAAAGCCCUUCAUUGUCUGCCUCUUGCUCAACUCUCCAACAAGACCAGCUUUUGAUUUUGCAGCUCUUCUCCCUUCCUGCCGUGUGCUAGUUCUAUGGAGCUUCCAUCUGUCCCCAAAGCUUCCAGGCUCAUUCCUACUUCACAGUGAUGCUUCCGCAAUGAGUCUUUGCCUCUUACAUCUUUGCCGGAUUGGCUUCCUAUGAGCCAUUUUCUCCCCAGUAACACCUUCGCACCUCAAACAUCACCUUUUGCCUGUCCAGCUAAAGUUGUCCCUUUCUACCUGUUCCCUCCAUCCCCUCCCUCUUCUGAUUAUUCAGUUUUAUUUUCUUAUGGUGAUUGCUGUUAACAGAUACAUCUGCCUGUGGGAUUUCUGGGUCCCCAGCUAUUAGCUGUUUUGCAUAAGGAGGGAAGUCUUACUUCUUUAUCUUUAAUGCAUAGUGUGUCUGGCAAGUAACUGAUGCUUAACGAAAAUUUCUGAAAUAUAUAAGCCAAGAAGUGGUACUUUCAAAGUGAUGGGUAGAAAAAAACAAGAACACUGUGUCCCCUGCUUCUGGUUCUGUGGGUCAACUCUCCGUUCCCUGCUCCUUCUCCUUCCUCCCAUUCCCUCUCUCCUCCACCCCACAUCUGCAGUUCUGUAUGCAUGUCUGUCUGCAUGGGUGUGGCCAUCAGUGGCUAUCCCUCAAGUGCCAUUCUCCUUGUUUUGUGGGACAAGUACUGUCUUUGGCCUGGAAUGCACCAUGUAGGCGAGGCUGGCUAACCAGACAGUCUCAGGGAUCUGCCUGCCUCUGCCUGUCUAACCUGGAUUACAACCGUGUCACCCACACCUUGUUUCGUAUUUUUAGGGUGACUUCUGAGAUGAAACUUAGGUCCUCCUGCUUGCAGGACAAGCAUUUACCCACUGAGCUAUCAAUCUGGUCCCUGUCUGGUUUAUUUCUACUUACAUUAAGAGAUAAGACAUUCUUUUUUUUUUUUUAAGGAGUCACCUAGGUAUUCUAUCUAUGACUUUUCCACGCUUCUUGGUGGCUUACACCACUUGACUCCUGAAGUUCCAGGUGUUUUUGUAUUUGUCCUUUAUCUCACAGGGGGGCAGCUGUGAGCAAAUAAGAGCUGCCUUCCAUGCUGCCAGGCUUGAAGGCGUCUCCCAAGUUGGGACUGAGUUUUGAAUUGUUUGGGUUCUUCUGCAUGGUGACGCUCCUUUUGUCCAGAGCUAACUGAGCUAGGGCUCCUCCAUUGAACAAAGGUGCCCUUAGGCAGUAGGGCAGUUAGUGAGUGACCUCUGUAAACAGGGCUUUCUUAGGAGAAAGGAAAAGUCUAGGGGUCCUGGUCGGGUUCAUUUUGUCUGCAGGUAUAGGACUAAAAGGCAGGAACAAUCUCAAGCAUAACAGGCAGCAGCAGCAGGGACAAACACGGCAGAAAGGCGCAGAGAAAACCAGCCAGUGUAGAGAGGCUUGCUUCUAUUAUGGGCGAGGAAAGGCAUACUCCCAGCCACCCUCAGCACCCCUCACAAUCCUUAAAUAAGGUUGGUCAUUUUGAAUAAAGACAGGUUGGCCUUGAACCUCUGUCCAGUCCACCGGUCCAUCAGCAGGAAGGCUUUCCUGGUGUGAGAAAAGCCCUCUCAGCUUUUGUUCUAAUUGGUCAGGCUCUUGUCUUGGGUCAGGAGGGUGAGGAAGAAGCCGGCCAUCUUGGAAGUUCACCACUUUAUUACCCAGUCAUGGCCCCUCUCCCUAUUAGUGUGUGCACCAGGAGUCUGUCCAGCUCUUCACCUCUGAGGAGCACACAUGCAAACAAGUGCUCAACUUCACCUUUGAGUGGCCACUCUGGGGUGGCCAGCUUGAGUUUCAUGUUUGCAGUUCUUUGCAUUUUGUCUCCCUCAUAAAUCUUGAACAUUUGAACACUUGGUCCUCUGUUGGAGGCUAUUUUGGGGGAGGAUUAGAAGGUGUGGCCUUCUGGAGGAGGAGUGUCACUAGGGUGGGC